This 72-nucleotide transfer RNA is filed under the name Pseudozyma flocculosa. It matches the Rfam family "tRNA". Rfam says of the family: Transfer RNA (tRNA) molecules are approximately 80 nucleotides in length. Lineage: Eukaryota; Fungi; Basidiomycota; Ustilaginomycetes; Ustilaginales; Ustilaginaceae. The record is from Rfam by way of RNAcentral.
GAGGGUAUAACUCAAAGGUAGAGUGUGGUACUUUUAAUACCAAAGUUGUAGGUUCAAGUCCUACUGUCCUUA